UGCGCAGGCGGGGCAAUAAGUCAGUGGUGAAAUCCUGCGGCUUAACCGUAGAACUGCCAUUGAUACUGUUGCCCUUGAGUAUAGUUGGGGUGGGCGGAAUAUGUAAUGUAGCGGUGAAAUGCAUAGAUAUUACAUAGAGCACCAAUUGCGAAGGCAGCUCACUAAGCUAUCACUGACGCUGAGGCACGAAAGCGUGGGGAGCGAACAGGAUUAGAUACCCUGGUAGUCC
This 229-nucleotide ribosomal RNA is filed under the name uncultured bacterium. RNAcentral describes it as "partial 16S ribosomal RNA". It matches the Rfam family "Bacterial small subunit ribosomal RNA", at positions 568 to 796 of the family's 1533-position model. The record is from RNAcentral.